Molecule: long non-coding RNA, 2121 nt
Organism: Numida meleagris (helmeted guineafowl)
Lineage: Eukaryota; Metazoa; Chordata; Aves; Galliformes; Numididae
Source: Ensembl
AUGAGCUGGGUCUGCCUGCGCACGAGCUCGCAAGCUGUCUACCUCCUCCUGAAUGUAUGCCUCGAAAAUCGGUACCUGCGCCGGGGUGAGGCACGCCCGUGCACACUGUCGCCAAUCGAAAAUCAGCGGGCCACUAAGACUAAUAGCGUCCAACAGGACCUGCGCCUGCGAUCCGAUGCAUGUUCUGGAAAUGCCAGACAGAGGAAAUUUACUUCAGUCAUUAUAGGGAAGUGAUUUGGAUCCUAAUGCGAGCAGAUGGAAAAUGCUGGAUAUUUCAGUUGACAAAGAAAAUUAUAAUCUUCUGGGAUGUAUCCUUUAUAUUCAGAGAUAAAUAGGGAAAAGAGUUAAGAAUACCCCAAACCAGCUUCAGUACCUGUAUAGAGGAGAGUCUAGCACACAAGUGUCUUAGUUUCAGCUGGGGUGGAAUUCUUUUCUUCAGAGUGCCUGGUAUGAUGCUGUGUUUUGGUUCUAGGGGUGUCAACGGUUUACGGGCAUUAGGCCCGAUUCCAUGACGAAGGGGACGGGGAACCCACAGGCCCACAUCCCGGGAAAAGGGGAAAGGGGAAAAGGGUAGGGAGAUGGACCAGAGAGCAAAGAACAGCGGCAACAAUCUGAGGAGAAACAAACUAAUUUACUAAAUAAGAUAUCGGAAUGCAAAACAACACACUCAUGUACAAUAUAAUUACAAUUUAAGCUGAUAAAUCCAAUACAGAGAGAGAAUGUCCCAAAAAAUCAAGGUAGGCCUUACUCUACUACCGACGAUAAGACGGCUGGAGAGUGAGGUGCUGCCAAGACGAGAGAUGGGCGGAAAAAGGGACGAGGUCUCGUGAUCUGCAAGUUUUUAUACUGUGAGCUUUUAUCUUUUCCCUCCGGCUGGAAAAUGGUAACAGAGGAGCAAAGUACCGUGGGGAAUGUAGUAGUCCUUCUCUUCUGAGAACCAGGUACAUUCACUACAUGAUGUUAUGAUGUGGAAUACCAAUAACCGAAAAUCACAAAACCAUGACAAGGGGAAAAACAAUGCUGAUAACACACUGAUGUUUAUGGCUGCUGCUAAGCAGUGCUGCACAGAGCCAAGGCCAUUCACAGUGAAGGGCACAAGGAGCUGGGAAGGAAGAGUAAGGACAGCUGACUUACACUGGCCAAAGGGAUAUUCCAUGCCACAUGACAUCAAGCGGAAGGGAUUUUGAAGGGGGUGGGAGUGCAUCUCACUCUCUUCCACUGCGCAGGGACUAGGUAGACAUCAGUUUUGGGUGUUGAGCAAUUGCUUGUGCAUCAUCUGUUAUAUACAUAGAUAUUAGUCAUAAUUGUUAUCUUUUUCAUUUUCUCUAUCUUAGUAAAUACUUUGAUAUCAGUCCAUGAGUUCUACUUUUUUUUCUUUUUCCAAUUCUCUCCCCCAUCCCACUGGGAAAAGUGAGUGAACAACUGUGUGGAGCUCAGCACCUGCCAGGUUAAACCACAACACUCCACAACACUUGUCUUCCAAGGUUUUGUACUAGAUGAGCUAGUUGACUGUUUUAUUUUAUUUUAUUUGAAUUUGAAGUAAUAUUCUGGAAGAAAUGAUAACCUGGAUUUUUCAAGGUUGCUGAAAAUAUAGCAUAAUUUGAACAAUUGGAUUUUAAACAUGAAAUGAUCAUGUAUUUGUCCCACUUAUGCAAGCAUUAGAAAGCUUGCUAAAUUUGUCGUGUUUAAAUUUAAAAUGGUGGCUUAGAAAAAAUAUACGUAAAAAUGGAAAUGUUCAUGAUCCCACAUAUGCUCCCCUUGAUGCACGAAAGUUUUAUCUAAUUUUGCACAAACUUCAGCUACAGUUUGAUUCUUUUUCAUGCAACCCUCAACUCUCUUAUCCGUAAUGUUGAGUGAUUAAUGAUUGAAAUGUUAUUUAAAUUACUGACCCUUUCUCUGUCAGAAUUUAUAACUCACUCAUGGAGAGUAAAACUGAACAAUCUGUUCUUUUUUCUUUCUUUCAAAAAGUGCUAAAAUUUCUGAUAUUUCUGUUCCCCGCUACAAGGGUGACAUCCUCCCUACCAGUAAAACAACUGGGAUGUCUCAGUGGAAUUGAUAGUGUAAAGAUUUGCCCCUGGCAGAUAAACAGUGUUGAAUAAACUGGAUGUGACAGUAUUAACA